RNAcentral lists this unclassified non-coding RNA (206 nucleotides) under Hevea brasiliensis (rubber tree). Lineage: Eukaryota; Viridiplantae; Streptophyta; Magnoliopsida; Malpighiales; Euphorbiaceae. The record is from RNAcentral.
CAAUUGGUGAUGAUAGCAGCAAGUUCGCAGAGAAAUGACAGUUUCUAAAGUGGUGAUAAGAUACUAGUAGCAGUAAGAUUACUCUGGGAUGGCAGAGGCAUUGGUGAUGAUAGCAGCAAGUUGAUGGAAACAUAACAAAUGAGGUGGCAGCAGCAAUGGUGUUAUCAUGGUGGAGGAGGCAUAAUGGUGGAAGGGUUGGUUGGCAG